AAGCUGGUCAAACAAUGACGUCGGACAGUUACGGACUGAAAACGAGAAACAGGGAGAUUAAUUCCUGACAAUCGUUUUAUUCUACGCGCGAGGUCGCCCGUAUCACAGAGAUCGAGGAGAAGGAAUAGCAGUGGAACGAAUGUGGAAUCUUUAUGUUAAUUGGAUCGUUCGAGGUCAUUUCUAAGAGAACGGAAGUUCUUUUGAUAUCACGCGAAUUCGAGGAUUUAAGGAGGAUUUAAGGAGGACAAGGAGGAUUUAAGAAAGAAACAUUAAGGAUUGCGUAAUUAGGUGAUAGAGGAAAAAAAGAUUGCAAAGAAAUCAGCAUUAAACAAAACCCCCAAAAAAGAAAAUUUUAGAAGCAAUCGAAUCCUCGUUGAAAAGAAAUAUCAAAUUCCAACCUAUAACUCUCAAAAGUAUACCUUGGUAUUUCAACGUCAAAUACGAUACAACUUACCGCUCUACAAGAAUCUCGCAGUAGCGAUAAAACGAAUAAACACAACGAGCAACAGAUAUAUGCAAGGAACGCGGACCGCACACGAGUCGAAGAAUUCCAAAUUGCACCAAUGCCAUGAAUUCCAUGUUUUCUACGUCAAAGCAGAAACAGGAAAAAUAAUACAAGUCAAGUAAAUUCAUCGAUAUAUUCCUUUGUUUCUUCCUAUUAA
This 662-nucleotide unclassified non-coding RNA is filed under the name Bombus terrestris (buff-tailed bumblebee). RNAcentral's name for it is "misc RNA ENSBTSG00005025489.1". Lineage: Eukaryota; Metazoa; Arthropoda; Insecta; Hymenoptera; Apidae. The record is from RNAcentral.